AGAAGCAGUAGACUAACAAACCCAGAUGUUGCGGGUAGCAAUCGGUGUGAUUUCUUGCACCAGAACUUCCAAGGCUGGGAUUUUUGUAGAUGUGUUAGGGGGCUGACCAGCUGGAAUUAAUGGCUGGCCGCCGGCCGUCGAAGCCAUAGGGCUGUUUCUCUCUAGAUCGCCCAAAUCGCCUAUUCAUAUUCAGUUGUAUUCAAAUGUAUUCUUCAGUUGUAUUCACUUAUUCAGAUUUAAUCAGUUGUAUUUAACUAUUUUAUUCAGCAGUAGUUAGUUGUAUUCAAGUGGAGUAGUGUCAUUCAAGAGCCUCAGUAUGUAGAAUCUUGGCCUUCGUCGUUGUAACAAGUCGUUGAAGAAUUUGAGCAUUCAAUACCAGAAACUUGAGUUAUUAGAGAUUCAUCAUAUUCAGCAGUAGUUAGUUGUAUUUAAGUGUUUUAUACAAUUGUAUUUAGUUGUACUCAGUUGUAGUUAGUUUUAUUCAACUAUUUUAUUCAGCAUAAGUUAGUUGUAUUUUGUUACAUUCAAGAGUUUAUUCAGUUGUAUUCAGUUAUAUUUUUAUUGUAUUCAAGUGUUUUAGUUAGAUGAAUUAAGGUGUAUAUUGGUGUAUUCAACUAUAUUAUUCAUAUGUAUUUCUAUUUAUUCAGCCAUUCUCUUUAUUAUGUAUCUUUCAAAUACAAAUUAAUGAGGGAUCGUUUUAGUUCGUUGUAAAUUAGGAGAAUAUCA
RNAcentral lists this long non-coding RNA (726 nucleotides) under Nicotiana benthamiana. Its description in RNAcentral is "long non-coding RNA (NBEN_LNC037103)". The record is from RNAcentral. Lineage: Eukaryota; Viridiplantae; Streptophyta; Magnoliopsida; Solanales; Solanaceae.